GUAACAGGAAGUGCUUGCACUUUGCUGACGACCGGCGCACGGGUGCGUAACGCGUAUGCAACCUACCUUCUACAGGGGGAUAGCCCAGAGAAAUUUGGAAUAAUACCCCAUACGAUCAUUAAUUGGCAUCGAUUGAUGAAGAAAACAUUUGUGGUAGAAGAUGAUCAUGCGUCCUAUUAGUUAGUUGGUGAGGUAACGGCUCACCAAGACGUCGAUAGGUAGGGGCCCUGAGAGGGGGAUCCCCCACACUGGUACUGAGACACGGACCAGACUCCUACGGGAGGCAGCAGUGAGGAAUAUUGGACAAUGGGCGAGAGCCUGAUCCAGCCAUGCCGCGUGCAGGAAGACUGCCCUAUGGGUUGUAAACUGCUUUUAUACAGGAAGAAACUGUGCUACGUGUAGCACCCUGACGGUACUGUAAGAAUAAGGAUCGG
Molecule: ribosomal RNA, 434 nt
Filed under: uncultured bacterium
Lineage: Bacteria
Description: bacterial SSU rRNA
Rfam family: Bacterial small subunit ribosomal RNA
Source: RNAcentral